GCGGCCGUGCCGGCGUGCUUACCAUGCAGUCGAACGAUGACUUCUGUGCUUGCACAGAAUGAUUAGUGGCGAACGGGUGAGUAACACGUGAGUAACCUGCCCUUGACUUCGGGAUAAGCCUGGGAAACCGGGUCUAAUACCGGAUACGACCUCCUGGCGCAUGCCAUGGGGGUGGAAAGCUUUAUGCGGUUUUGGAUGGACUCGCGGCCUAUCAGCUUGUUGGCGGGGUAAUGGCCCACCAAGGCGACGACGGGUAGCCGGCCUGAGAGGGUGACCGGCCACACUGGGACUGAGACACGGCCCAGACUCCUACGGGAGGCAGCAGUGGGGAAUAUUGCACAAUGGGCGAAAGCCUGAUGCAGCGACGCCGCGUGAGGGACGAAUGCCUUCGGGUUGUAAACCUCUUUCAGCAGGGAAGAAGCGAAAGUGACGGUACCUGCAGAAGAAGCGCCGGCUAACUACGUGCCAGCAGCCGCGGUAAUACGUAGGGCGCAAGCGUUAUCCGGAAUUAUUGGGCGUAAAGAGCUCGUAGGCGGUUUGUCGCGUCUGCUGUGAAAGCCCGGGGCUCAACCCCGGGUCUGCAGUGGGUACGGGCAGACUAGAGUGCAGUAGGGGAGACUGGAAUUCCUGGUGUAGCGGUGAAAUGCGCAGAUAUCAGGAGGAACACCGAUGGCGAAGGCAGGUCUCUGGGCUGUAACUGACGCUGAGGAGCGAAAGCAUGGGGAGCGAACAGGAUUAGAUACCCUGGUAGUCCAUGCCGUAAACGUUGGGCACUAGGUGUGGGGGACAUUCCACGUUUUCCGCGCCGUAGCUAACGCAUUAAGUGCCCCGCCUGCGGAGUACGGCCGCACGGCUAAUACUCAAAGGAAUUGACGGGGGGCCCGCACAAGCGUUGGAGCAUGCGGGUUAAUUCGAUGCAACGCGAAGCAAACUUACCAAGGCUUGGCGUGAAC
RNAcentral lists this ribosomal RNA (953 nucleotides) under Arthrobacter gandavensis. RNAcentral describes it as "bacterial SSU rRNA". It matches the Rfam family "Bacterial small subunit ribosomal RNA", at positions 29 to 991 of the family's 1533-position model. Lineage: Bacteria; Bacillati; Actinomycetota; Actinomycetes; Micrococcales; Micrococcaceae. The record is from RNAcentral.